This 1140-nucleotide long non-coding RNA is filed under the name Sorghum bicolor (sorghum). Its description in RNAcentral is "long non-coding RNA (SBIC_LNC016100)". The record is from RNAcentral. Lineage: Eukaryota; Viridiplantae; Streptophyta; Magnoliopsida; Poales; Poaceae.
UUUACCGAAGGAGAACAAAAGCACUAGUGAUGUUCCGAAGUGCUACCACCUGAUCACAAAUACUACUCAGUACAUACACCAACAUACAAGCAAGAGUAAGAACAAAUACGCACUAAAGCGCCCCAAACCCGACAUUCAAGCCUCUACCGUUUGCGCUACCGAUCAAGACAGCAGCACCGACUCUUCUCUUUUUCAUAUACUUCAGAAUACUCAUCCAAAAAUUACCACAAUUCAUCAGAUCAUGUAAAACUCUAUUAUAUACAACUUUUGUAUUGUAAGGUUUUGCAUCAGAGAUCUGCAAGAUGGUAUAAUUAACCAUAGAACACAACUGAAUAUUUCUGACCUUCAAAACAGAACAUCAAACUUCAAAAAUUCAUAACAGGAGAUAUACUUAUUCAAAAGUUACAAACUUUACCAAUCUAGAAAGCUUAACAAAAAUCCUAAAACCUUUGUUAAUAAUCAAAGAACUAAUUAUUUCAUUAACAGGGUCAAAAACUGCUUAGAUCCAAAACUGUCCAGAUUUUCGUCACUGGAAACCAGUCAGAUUGAAAACUCGAUAUCUCACAAAUUAUAACUACUAUGACAGAGUUCUUGGCGUCCAAAGAAAGCUAUUGGAGUCCUCUACAACUUUGUCCACAGACCCAAAAAUUUAUAAAGACUCUAAAAUGCCCUAACAUUACGAUGAACAUGGACUGCUCAGUCUGACGAGAAUUUCAGAACAUGAACUUAAAUGACUUCGAGAAUUUCUCCACUAAACCCAAUCCCAAAUAAGCGAUUUAAUCCGCAAAACUUGAUCAGAUAAAGGGGAUUAAUAUUUGGCUUCUCACCUAGAGAACCACAGCGAGCACGACGCCGAAACUCCCGGCGUCUACUCCUUCUCCGCCUCUUCACCUUUCCAUCAUCUCCGAUCCAACUCGCCAUGAUCCUUGCCGCCACAAAAGCCUUGUUAUUCCGAUCUACGCCAAACAUGGCUAAGCCCUCAUGGACAGCAAAAGGGACAUGGUGGAUCAAUGGGACAGCCAAGAUACAAGGUAGAACCUAACCGUAUUUUCCACGGGAGGAAGAACGACCACCACGGAUGACUGACGGCGGCGGCGGCGGCGGCAAAACCCUAGGCCCUAUUCUCCCCUUCCCUCUUCU